RNAcentral lists this non-coding RNA (688 nucleotides) under Rhodotorula toruloides ATCC 204091. RNAcentral's name for it is "Rhodotorula glutinis ATCC 204091 Bacterial small subunit ribosomal RNA". It matches the Rfam family "Bacterial small subunit ribosomal RNA", at positions 933 to 1520 of the family's 1533-position model. The record is from Rfam by way of RNAcentral. Lineage: Eukaryota; Fungi; Basidiomycota; Microbotryomycetes; Sporidiobolales; Sporidiobolaceae.
UGUGGCACUAAGUCAUGGGCCUUGCGGCACUUAGUCAUGGGGCCUAUGAGGUUAAUUACUACAAAGUAGUAACUUGCACACACACUUGCAGUCGCAUGGGCAAUAGGGCGUACUUUACGUCACAACUCACACAGGUGCUACAUGUCCUUCUUCAGCAUGUGUUGCUAAAUGCGAGGUUAAAUCCGCUAACAUGCGCAAGCCUUGCAGCCAACUUGACGUGGCUGUUUGCAGCCCAUAUGACUGCAGACCAGGGCCAAGAAAGGACACCAUGACCCCCAUGCGGUGGGCUGACUUUGUGCUGCUAAGGCUAGUGCAAUGCAACGCUUUUGCAUUGGGCCGCAAUGCCCGCAGUAGCUACUUGCCAAUACUAGCCUGUUGAAUUAGUGGCUGCAAUUGCCACUACAAAUUAGGAAUUGCAAGUAAUCGUAGUGUAGCGCGCUACGGUGAACACCCCAUUCAAAAUGUACUAAUUACCCGUCACGUCGGCAAAGGCUACCUAGUAGUAAAACUUGGCAGGCGUCAUUAGGCUGCAGUGGCCACUUGCAAGGCCACAUGGCUUGCAAAGUCGCAUUUUUAAGUAGCCCAAGGCUACGCAAUGCCUUGCUGCAGCUUGGCGCAAGCUUUGCUAAUUACUAGCGCCAAUGUGGACGAAGUCGUAAUAAAGGAGUGGUACGGGAACGUGCUGCUG